This 465-nucleotide ribosomal RNA is filed under the name uncultured bacterium. RNAcentral's name for it is "bacterial SSU rRNA". It matches the Rfam family "Bacterial small subunit ribosomal RNA", at positions 338 to 795 of the family's 1533-position model. The record is from RNAcentral.
CCUACGGGCUGCACCAGUGGGGAAUAUUGCACAAUGGGCGCAAGCCUGAUGCAGCCAUGCCGCGUGUAUGAAGAAGGCCUUCGGGUUGUAAAGUACUUUCAGCGGGGAGGAAGGUGUUGUGGUUAAUAACCGCAGCAAUUGACGUUACCCGCAGAAGAAGCACCGGCUAACUCCGUGCCAGCAGCCGCGGUAAUACGGAGGGUGCGAGCGUUAAUCGGAAUUACUGGGCGUAAAGCGCAUGCAGGCGGCCUGUUAAGUCAGAUGUGAAAGCCCGGGGCUCAACCUGGGAACUGCAUUCGAAACUGGCAGGCUAGAGUCUUGUAGAGGGGGGUAGAAUUCCAGGUGUAGCGGUGAAAUGCGUAGAGAUCUGGAGGAAUACCGGUGGCGAAGGCGGCCCCCUGGACAAAGACUGACGCUCAGGUGCGAAAGCGUGGGGAGCAAACAGGAUUAGAUACCCCAGUAGUC